GUAGGGAGGCAGCAGUGGGGAAUAUUGCACAAUGGGCGCAAGCCUGAUGCAGCCAUGCCGCGUGUAUGAAGAAGGCCUUCGGGUUGUAAAGUACUUUCAGCGGGGAGGAAGGUGUUGAGGUUAAUAACCUCAGCAAUUGACGUUACCCGCAGAAGAAGCACCGGCUAACUCCGUGCCAGCAGCCGCGGUAA
RNAcentral lists this ribosomal RNA (191 nucleotides) under uncultured Enterobacter sp. Its description in RNAcentral is "partial 16S ribosomal RNA". It matches the Rfam family "Bacterial small subunit ribosomal RNA", at positions 340 to 523 of the family's 1533-position model. Lineage: Bacteria; Pseudomonadati; Pseudomonadota; Gammaproteobacteria; Enterobacterales; Enterobacteriaceae. The record is from RNAcentral.